AGGAUAGUACGGUGAAGCACUUUGAAAGAGGUUAAACAGCACGUGAAACAAGUUAAAAGGGAAGCGCUUGUGACCAGACUUGCGUCCGGUGAAUCACCCAGCUCUCGCGGCUGGGGCAUUUUGCCGGCUCAGGCCAGCAUCAGCUUGCCGUCGGGGACAAAAGCUUCGGGAACGUAGCUCUCUUCGGGGAGUGUUAUAGCCCGUUGCAUAAUACCCUUCGGUGGGCUGAGGUACGCGCUCCGCAAGGAUGCUGGCGUAAUGGUCAUCAGCGACCCGUCUUGAAACACGGACCAAG
This 295-nucleotide ribosomal RNA is filed under the name Colletotrichum truncatum. Its description in RNAcentral is "partial 28S ribosomal RNA". It matches the Rfam family "Eukaryotic large subunit ribosomal RNA", at positions 353 to 670 of the family's 3401-position model. The record is from RNAcentral. Lineage: Eukaryota; Fungi; Ascomycota; Sordariomycetes; Glomerellales; Glomerellaceae.